This 249-nucleotide ribosomal RNA is filed under the name Triticum aestivum (bread wheat). RNAcentral's name for it is "partial small subunit ribosomal RNA". The record is from RNAcentral. Lineage: Eukaryota; Viridiplantae; Streptophyta; Magnoliopsida; Poales; Poaceae.
AUGGAUAAGGAAAUUAUUGGCAUCAUAUAUGACCGCAAGCUUCCCAACCCGGGAGUCACAGGGGUGAAAUUUCACACUUUUACGCUCUUAAGAGGGGUACUCCGACGUCGACAGCCUCGACUAGAACCACACAGGUUCCAGAAGAGCAGAGCUCUUGUACCCACUAAGACCCGGACACCUGGACCUACUGAUGUCGGUCGCUCCUACGGAUCCAUCACCGACACGUUCCCGAACAAGGUCCGUCCUUAG